GGCAAUUACAACACUAGUGUUGCUUCUGAUGGGGGAUUUCCAAGCAACUUGUGGACUACUUCCUCAUGGUAUAUCUAAUAAUUAUCUUCCUUUUAUGAGAUCUCUAAGCCUUAGCAUUAGCUACUUAAUUAAAUCGACUUAGUUUUUACCAAUUUUAUUAUUUGGUAGCUAAUUUCUUGCUUCUUGUGAUUUUCUCAUAUAAUUGAACAAGAUUGCUUUGAAUGUCAAAGUGAUAUUUUGAGCACGAAAGUGGUGCCCGUUCGCCGCAGCCUAAGACCAUUCAAAAGGCCACCACCCGCACCUGCUCGCAAUAAACCGGAAUCGCAUACGCCUGAGGUACAAGUGAAAUAAACAAACAUAAAACCCUUGGCAGAAACUCCCUGGAGCACUUCAUCGUUCCUAUUUUCUUGUAUUUUUAUUUGUUUUCUUAAGAGGAGUUAAGUUUAUAUCCCCCGUUCUUUUAUUGUAUUUUUUACUUUAUUAUUUCUUCUUAUAUUAUGAGCUAAACUUUAUGUCCCCUUACUUAAGUGCAACUUCUUUUUCCUGAUUCUAUAAAAUUUCUCUUAUGCAGUCGAGGUUUCUUUAAAACAAGUGGAACAAACCAACCAACCAACCAACCAACCAACCAAGAAACAGAAAAUUAAGCCACAAUAUUCAAGCAUGAUGACCAAUAGAUAUAAUUUCUAACAAGGUUCUAAAAGACGUUAGGCGCUAGUCGGGUGGCGGGCUGGGGCCUAGCGCCUAGGCAGCUAGAAGGGGUCUAGGUGGGCUCGUAGGCGAACUAGCGGAUUUAAUUAAAUCUAUUAUAUUUUGUAUAAAUAAAAGUCCGUUUAUAUUUAGGGAAUUGGUAUUAGCACUCCAAAAAUCUCAUUUGGCACUCCAAACUUUCUAUAAUUAGAAAGAAAAAUAUACUUAUGAGGAGUGUAGAAUGAUAUUUUGGAGUGCUAAUAACAGUUCCCUAUAUUUAAAAUAUAUAUUAUUUCAUCAUAAACUACAAAAUGAAAUGACAUAUAUAUUAUGAGCUAUUGGAACACAAUAAAAACAUUGCGAACGAGUAUAUAAUGUGUGUUCCCUUAAGUAUUCAACAAGUCUCUUACAAUUUAUUAAAGAAAAAAAGAAAAUGUAAUAUGAAAGUUAUCUAUUUUUUGUCUAAGUGAGUUGCAACCUAAGCAGGUGUCUAGGCAGGUCCGGGCGGGCUAGGCGGGUGCCUCAGUAGGUCUAGGCACCCUUUCUUAAUUUUCAAACGCCUAGGCAUUAAUCAGGGCAGUGACCAACCACCUAGCGCCUAGGCGGGGAUAUUUAGAACAAUGAUUUCUAUUAACAUUCACCAAUGCAAUUGAAUAAAAAGAACAUUGAAUUCAAAGAACAUAAAAAUUUCAACAAAAGAAAAAAGAAAAAAAAAGACACAUCCAAUAAAUUAAGCAAAGAUUUCAAUCGAUAGGUGAUGAGUCAAUAUUAUUCUAUAUUUGUACUCUAAUCUUAGUUAUAAUUUAUUUGUUAUUUUGUGAGGAUUUUGAUACUUUGCUUUAUCUUCAAUUGUAGGACAUGUGAAUCUAUUUUGAGCAAAAGGCGAUGAAACGAAAAAAAUUUAGAGUAGAUUUAUAUGUCUUUCAAGAUGAUUGUGUCUAAGUUUCAGAAUUUAUUUCCUAGUCGUUUGACCAUAGUGAAUAAAAGAAGGCUGAUCACGCAGUGCUGGCAGCUUGAUGUUUUGUUCUUGUUUCGGCCAUAAGUCAUUCAAGAUGACUUUUUUUUUUUUUAAUUUUUGGGAAAGUCCAUUUUGUAAAAGUGUAAGGAACGUUUUUAUCUUUCUAACGCCACCCGGCAUGCUUGAUUUGGAGCAAAUUUGACUAGGAAACGUGUUGAAUAUUUGGCUGCCCAGAUUGUCCAAGUUAGGGUAGGAAUGUUUUUCCUAGUUUAUUAUUUGGGCUUCCAAAUUUGUUGGGGACCUAAUUUAGAUAGGAUUUCAAUUUCUGCACACUAUAUAUAGGACAAGGAUUGUCUGCCCCAAGCUCUCCUAUGCCCUCCUGUUUGUGUGGUCACGGUUAAGCCACGUCAACAUUUUAUAUUACUAUUCAUUUUUGUCUUAUUAUCUCUAUAAAAAAACAAUAUAAAAUGUUGAUGUGGCUUAACCGUGACCACACAAAACAAGAGGGCACGGGAGGGCACGAGAACAAAGAGGGCAGACAAUCCUUGUCCCUGUAUAUAUAACCGAGUCUUUUUCUAGGGCCAUAAUGUUUUUAGACUUGUAGAUCUUCUUAGGAGCUUUUGAUGAUUUGUUACAAGGGUAUUUUCUAUCUUUUCUCCUUAAUAAUAUUUUUGCUUUCCAAUUAUGAAUAUGCGUAACUAAUUCCUUUUCCUAGGAAGAGUCCACGAGCUUUAGCAUGAAUAUGUAGUUUCUUUUCAAAUAAACUAGGAACGUAUUGAAUAUUUUGCACACUAUAUAUAUAUAUAUAUUUAGCCGAGUCUUUUUCUAGGGCCAGAACAUUUUUAGACUUGGAGAUCUUGGCUUAGGAGCUUUUGACGAUUUGUUACAAGGGUGUUUUCUAUCUUUUCUUCUUAAUAAUAUUUUUACUUUACAAUUAUGAAUAUGUGUAACUAAUUCCUUUUGCUAGGGCGAGUCCACGAGCCUUAGUAAGAAUAUGUAGUUUCUUUUAAAAAAUCUUGUUUGAUACAACUUCUAUUAGAAUGUCAUCAUGAAAUUGAGUAGGACUUCUUGUGAUUGUUAAUUAUAAUUUCACUUAAGGCGAAUGUCAUGUCUUAAGGGAUGCAUGAUUUUUCGAAAGGUUUUCACAAAGCUUAAUGAGUUUUGCAUGUUCAUGUUUGAUCUAAAUAUCACAGACGGAUUGCAAGUUUGAUAUAUGUUCUAGCUUGAAUGCCAUAAGUAGAAUAUGCAUUAGGAAAAUCUAACCUUCAAAGUUUGCAUGUAUUAACUCAUAAGUAAUUGAUAGAACUGCAUAUGAUUGAUUUUUUCAUAAAACUAUUUUAUUUUCUCUUUGCUGCCGAGUUUUUACUAAAACCAAUUUCAAUUAUUUUAUUUUAUGUUUCUUUUAAUUCACAAUUUCAAAUCUUGUUUUAAACAGUUAGCUAAGAAUUGGUUUUAUAUACAAAUUGUCCAUAUCAGUCCCUAUAGGUUUUAGCUACAAAUUGUUCAUAUCAGUCUCUAUAGAGAACGAUCUUACUUGAGCUGUUUAUACUAUUGUUGUAAACUAAACCAAAAAAACCAAUCAAGCAAUAAACAAAACACAACGAUUCCAGAGUUCCUCUAAUAUAGGAGUACCUCUCUAACAACUGAAGCUUUAUUGACUACCAACAAAUACAAGAGAACUAACAAACACAAAGUAUUCUCAAGUAUAUAAACUUAUACCUCUCAAAACUCUAUUCCACAUCCAUCCAUUUAUACUACUAGAUGUCCUAGGUUUACACAAAGUCCCUAGAAUAUAGGAAACCAAAUCCCAAACCAACUAGGAAACACAAAUCCAAAUAUCUUGCGUCCAAGAUAUCCUAAUCCUUUUUAGUUUAGGCAUAUUGAUUUAAUGUCAAAUCCAACAAUCUCUACCUUGGCAUGAAAUCCAUAACGAGGCGUCAACAACUUUUGUUGCUCCACCAUAUCGCAAGAUCAAACUUGCUUCAACUGCACCAAAUCCAGGUAGUGCUCGAACUUAGCUAUAUUAACCACCUUUGUCAACAUGUAAACUGGAUUACCUUCUGCAGCAACCUUUUUUAGACGAAUCUCACCUUCAGCUACCACUUCUCUUACAAAAUGAUAUCGUACAUCAAUGUGCUUAGUCUUAGCAUGAUGUACCUGAUAUCUUGCCAAAUAAAUGGCAGUUUGGCUAUCAUAAUAUACAUCAAACUUGUGUUGUUCUACACUUAAAUCUCCUAACAACCCAGAGUCCACAUUACCUCUUUGAUAGCUUCAACGAUCGCUAUGUAUUUUGCUUCCGUGGUUGAUAAUGUCAUCGUUGGUUGUACUAUUGAUCUCCAACAUAUAGGAUCAUUUGCCAUAGUAAACACAUACCCAGUCAUCGAUCUUCUCUUGUCUAAGUCUCCAACAAAGUCUGAGUCCAUAUAUCCAACUGGGAACUUAUCAAUUCCUUCAUCACAUCUUUCAAAACAAAUACAUUUGUCCCUCGUUCCAUGUAAGUAUCCACUUAGCAGCAUUCCAAUACUCUCUUCCAGGAUUAUACAUGAAUCUACUAACAAUUCCAGCUGCGUGUGCUAUAUCAGGACGAGUACACACCAUAGCACACAUUAAUCAUGCAACCAAAUUAGCACAUGGAAUACCAUCCAUCUUCAUCUUCUCUUCAUUAAUUUUGGGACAUUGUUCACUGCUCAAUUUGAAGUAAGCACCUAAUGGAGUUCUUACAGGCUUAAUGUCUUUUGUUACUCCAAACUUUUGUAACAACUUCUUAAGAUAUUGCUUCUGAGACAAACACACCAAACAUUUUUGUCUAUCCCUUGUGAUUUCCAUUCCCAAUAUUUUCUUGGCUUCAUUGAGAUCCUUCAUUUCUAACUCCCUUCUCAUUUGCUCAUUCAACUUUUCUAUCUCUGAAUUAUUGCUUGAGGCUAUGAGCAUGUCGUCCACAUAGAUUAACAAGUACACAGACGAACCAUCUUUCAACUUCUUACGAUAAACAUAAUGAUCAUAAUGACUUCUUGUAUAGUCUUGACCCUUCAUAAACUUGUCAAAUCUUAAAUAUCAUUGCCUGGACGACUGCUUUAAACCAUAAGGAGAUUUUCUAAGCUUACAAACCAAUCUUUCUUUGCCCUUCACUUGAUACCCCUCGGGUUGUCUCAUAUAAAUCUCUUCAUCCAAAUUACCAUGAAGAAAUGCAAUAUUCACAUCUUGUACCAAUUCAAGGUUGAACUGUGUAACUAAAGCAAGCAAUAUUCGAAUAGAGAAGUGCUUAACCACAGGAGAAAAAAAUCCCAUUGUAAUAUAUUCCCUCUUUCUGAGCAUAUCUUUUAGCCACUAGCCUAGCUUUAAAUCUUACUAAGCUCUUGUCAUCCAUUCCAUCUUUCUUUGCAUAAACCCAUUUGCAGCCAAUUGCUUUCUUUCCUCUAGGUAACUUUACCAAUUCUCAAGUCUUAUUCUUGUGAAGGGAGAGCAUCUCAUCGUUCAUUGCAUCAUGCCAUUUACUCUCUUCUUCACUAUUUAUUGCUUCUUCAAAAUUAGUGGGAAUUUCAGCCUCAAUUACUAGUAAUGCAUAUACCAUGCAGACCAUGCAAUCUUUAUAUCUCACAUGUAAGGAUAUGUCUCUUUUUCCCUUCCUUUGGGCUAUGCAAUCAUUUUGUAUCUUUAGUUCUUCUGAUGGUGUUGCUUCUUUGUGAUCACUCUCUUCAUAUUCAAGUUGAUCACCUUGUCUUUCUUCUUCCACAGCUUUCUUACUUGCCUGUGAAUUCACAAUUACUUGUUCCCCAAGCUCCACCAUCUGAACAUCUUCCUUCAAUUUCAUGUGACUUUCAUCGAAUGUCACAUCUCUACUUACUAUAAUCUUGUUCAACUCGAGACACCAAAGUCUGAAGCCUUUCACACCACUAUUGAAUCUCAUAAUGAUAACUUUAUUGGCUCGUGGAUCCAGUUUUUUUUUUCCUUCACAUGAAAGUAGGCAUUGCAUCGAAACACUCUUAGCUUAUCAUAGUUUUGAGCUGGUUCUCCAGACCACACUUCAAUGGUUGUUCUACCCUCCAAUGUUAUUUAUGGUAGUCGAUUAAGCACAUGACAUGCAUAACUCAAAACUUAUACCCAAAAUCUCUUUGGCAGCUUAGCUUGAGAUAGCAUGCAACGAACUUUCUUGAGCAAGGUCCUAUUUAGUUUCUCUGCAAUUCUAUUUUGCUGUGGAGUAUGUCUAACACUGAAAUGUCAAGUAAUCCCUUCUUUUUUACACACUUUGAAGAAAGGAUCAGAGGUAUAUUCCCCUCCAUUGUCACUUCCCAGUAUCUUAAUCUUCUUUUCAAUCUUGUUCUCCACCAUGUUCUUCCAUUCCAGGAAGAUGUCAAAAACUUCGUCCUUUUGUUUCAUCAUAUAUAUCUAUGAUCUGCGAGAGUAGUCAUCAAUAAAAGAUACAAACCAUAUGUUUCCACCUAAAGAAGCAUUCUUUACAGGCCCCCAAACAUCAGAGUGAACAUAGUCCAAAAUCCCUUUCGUUUGAUUAACAGUUGAGCCAAAUUUCACCUUUGCUUUUUUGUUUAUUUGUCAAGAAUGCAAUAUUCACAAAACUCUACCUUUCCAGUUUUUGCUCAUUUUAAACACCCUUACUCGAUUAAUCCUUGCAAUGCUUUUUCUCCUACAUGUCUUAACCUCAUGUGUCAUAACGCAAACAAGUCACUUUUAUCACUUUGCAUUUCAUCAGCUACCAUAGCCAAUCCAUUUUCCAAAGUUCUUCCUUGUAGCAUAUAAAGUAAGCCAUUUCGAGGCCCUUUCAUUAUGACAAGUGCUCCUUGAGCAUGUUGUUAUCGGAGUAAAACUUGUAGCCUUGUGACUCGAGAAUGCCUAGUGAGAUCAAAAUUUUCUUCAGAUUUGGGACAUACCUUCACCAUGCAAUUCUAGAAUCACACCAUCAUGAUGUUUCCAAUUCCUUGAGUUGUACAUGGGUUAUCAUCUCCCAUAUACACAGUUCCAUUCAUAACUUUGAAGCUUGAAAACUAAUGCCUUUGAGAAGUCAUGUGAUGAGUAUAACCUGUGUUGAGCACCCACUCUUUCGUAUAAUCCACAGUGCUCGAUGUAGUUAGGGCAUAGACAAAUUCCUCAUCCUCAACUUCAACCAUAUUUUCUUCUGAGUCUUCCUUCUUUUUAGUCUUUUCUUUGAUUUUAAGGCAGUCCUUCUUCCAAUGUCCUUUUUCAUGACAAAAAGCACACUCAUCUUUGUCCAAGAACUUCCUAUUCUUUGAGACUCCUCUAGUACGAGACAUACUAUUUUUCCUGUAUGAACCUUCUUUUUCUUUCGAUCUCCUUCUCACCAUCAAAGCUUCAAAGUUAUUCCUUUUUUGCAUGUCAAUGUGUCUCACCUCAUAAUUCAUAAGAGUACUUGAGAUUUCAUCAUACUUAAUUGUCUCCCUGCCAUAAAUCCAGGUAGUCACGAAAGGCUCAUAAGAUUUAGGUAAUGAGUUCAUCAAGAUUAAGGCCUUGUCUUCAUCUUUGAUUAUCUUUUCAAGAUUUGCCAGUUUAGCUAGAAGCUUGUUAAACUCUUCUAGAUGGCCAAUCAUCUUCAUGCCCUCUUUGUACUGGAACCUGUACAACUUGCUCUUGAGAUGCAUUCAAUUCUAUGCACUCUUCUUCAUAUAUUUUGUCUCCAAUGUAGCCCACAAUUAUUUCAUAGAACUUAUGUUCAUCACACCAUACUUCUGUUGCUUUCCCAAGCAUAGCUGAACUGUAUAAUAUGCAUGAGCAUUCAAUCUUUCCCAUUCUAUUUUUUUUCAUUGAAAACAACAUGUCUCCUAACACAACCACCAAACCUUGUUGUAUCAGGACAUCUCGAACCUCACACUGCCACAUAGCAAAGUUGUUCGUUCCAUCAAAUUUCUCAAUUUCAAACCUAAUACUUUGAACCGUCGUCUUGGUUCCACUAGUGCUAGACUUUUCUUCAACAUCAUCACUACUGGUGGAAUCACUAGUCUUCGUCAUUGCUUGAUAGUCACAACCCACAUCAAAACCUAAGCUCUUGAUACCACUUGUUCUAAACUAAACCAAAAAACCAAUAAAGCAAUAAACAAAACACAACAAUUCUAGAGUUCCUCCAAUAUAGGAGUACCUCUCUAACAACGGAAGCUUUAUUAAUUACCAACAAAUACAAGAGAACUAACAAACACAGAGUGUUCUCAAGUAUACAAACUUAUGUCUCUCAAAACUCUCACACACAAAACUCUAUUCCACAUACAUCUAUUUAUACUAAUAGAUGUCCUAGGUUUACACAAAGUCCCUAGAAUAUAGGAAACCAAAUCCUAUACUAAAACUAAAUCCCAAACCAACUAGGAAACACAAAUCCAAAUAUCUUGCGUCCAAGAUAUCCUAAUCCGUUUUAGUUUAGUCCUUCACUCGAUAGGCACACUAAACACUUACCAUUGAAACACGUGAGCAAGCUCUCCUUCACAUCAUCACUUUACCCUAAUAUUUCUCUUACGAGCAGGUUUGUAGUAGUUAUUUCUUCUUCUUCUUCUUUUUCUCGCUCUACCUUCUUUUUCUUUUUUGGUUGGAUCUCCUCCCUCAUUUUCUUUGCUCGUCGGAUCGCGAUGUUGGAACUCAGAGAAAAUGGCAAAAAGCUUUUGUACGUGUACAGUUUGAUAACACUAGAAACCUGAGAGAAUGUCCUUGUUUAUUGAAUGAAACUUGUGGCUAUUAAAUAGCCUUACAAUGCAAUGAAAUAGGAAAUAACAACCCACGAUUUACAUGGCCUAAGAUCGUGGUGCAUGACUAAGUCAGAAACAGAAAGAUAAGCUUGUCCCUCAAGAAUAUGAGGGAUUAUUUGCACGACUAGAAACUAAACCCUAGAAACAAGGAACCUUAACCCUAACGGCUAGGAGACUUCAAAUACUUUAACAUCCUCCCUUAAACUGAAUAUCAUUGAUAAUCAGUUUAUCCCUAGGUAUUUGCAGACACCCAUUGCUUCUCGCAGCUUUGCAAACACUUAUAACUUCAAUGGUUUAGUCAUAACAUCUGCAAUCUGCUCCUGGGUUGAACACUGUUUGAGCUCCACUACUCCAUCAUUGACCAAAUUUCGAAGAAAAUGAAACCGAACGUCAAUGUGCUUGCUACGUCCAUGCAUUACUGGAUUUUUCGAGAGUUUGAUGGUUGAGAUGUUAUCACAGUACACGACAGUAGGUUCAGACUGCUCACAAGUUAGACUUUUCAUAAUCCUCUUUAGCCAAACAACUUGACAAGCACUUGAAGCUACAGUGAUAAACUCAUAUUCGGUAGUGGAAAGAGUAACCACUGGUUGCUUCUUUGAGGACCACGAUACUGCACUUGAGUUCACCAUGAAGACAUAUCCUGAUGUACUUUUCCUGUCAUCCUAAUCUCUUGCAUAGUCACUGUCCGUGUAGCCAAAAAGCUUUUCAUCUCCUCCCUUCCUAUAAAACACCCCAAAACUGGAUGUUCCCUUCACAUACCUUAGAAUCCUCUUUGCUGCCUUCAAGUGAGUCUCCGUGGGGCGUUCCAUAUACCUACUGAUUAAGCUUACAACAAACAUCAGGUCAUGGCGUGUGGCUGUAAGAUACAUAAGACUUCCCACCAUUUGCUUGUAAAGAGUACCAUCGACUCCUACUCCUUCUUCAUCCCUUGUGAGUUUGAAACCAGGAAUCACUGGAUUUUGAACCAAGUUGCACUGAUCCAUGUUGAAUCUUUCAAGGACCUCGUGAGCAUAUUUUCGUUGGCUUAUAAAAACCUCAUCUUCCUUCUGCAACAUUUCAAUCCCCAUAAAAUAUCUUAUUUUUCCGAGAUCAAUCAUGUCAAUUUCAUCCAUCAUAGACUUCUUAAAUUGUUCAAUCAUAACUCCAUCGUUCCCAGUGUUUAUAAGAUCAUCAACAUACAAACAAAUAAUCAAUAUUUUACCUCCAUUUGCUGUUUUAGUGAACAACGUGUGCUCAUGAUGACAUUUGUUGAAGCCUUCUUUGACAAAAUAUGAUUAUAUGCGACUGUACCAAGCUCAGGGAGCUUGUUUGAGUCCAUACAGUGUUUUCUUGAGUCGAUAGACUUUUGAUUCUUCUCCCUUCUGUACGUAACCUGGUGGUUGAUCAACAAAUACUUAUUCACUGAUUUCGCCAUGCAGGAAUGCUGAUUUGACGUCAAGUUGGUAUAUCAACCAACCUUUCUGUGCAGCAAGUGAAAACACUAUGCGAAUUGUGUCCAAGCGAGCCACUGGUGCAAAUACUUCUGCAUAAUCCACUCCAUACUGUUGACUGUACCCUUUCGCCACUAGCCGUGCCUUGUACUUGUCUACUUCCCCAUGCUCAUUGAGUUUGGUUUUGAAAAUCCAUUUCACUCCAACAGAUCUUCCUCCUGGUGGUAGGUUAGUUAAUUCCCACGUCUCAUUUUUCUCUAUUGCCUUGAUUUCUUGAUCCAUUGCUUGCCUCAAUUUCUCACUUUUCACAGUGUCUUCAUAUGUCAUCGGAUCACCAUUAGUGAAUAAGGCUAGAUGAGCUAUAUUCACAUUUUCUUAAUCAGAGAGACCUUGACCAGUCUCAUAAUCUCUCAUCCAUGCAGGAGGUCUUCGUGUUCGUCCUUCUGGGAGUGAGGUGACAUUUGAAGUGUCUUCUUCGAAAGAACCACUGCUGUUGGACCCAUGUUCUUCUAGUUCUUCAGCUGUCUCAGAACCAUUUUCAUUGUUUUCCUCUUCUGUACUUGCUUCUUCAUUAACUUCCCAUUCUAAAUCAGCCAAUAUGGUUUGCUUGUGGACCUCAUCCCAACUCCAUUCUUGGUCUUCUUCAAAGACCACAUCUCUGCUAACAAUUAUCUUGGAAGAAAUAGGAUCAAACAAUCUAUAAGCUUUAGAUUCGUCACUUACUCCCAGAAAUAUGCAUUUGAGACUUUUAGCUUCAAGCUUCACUCUUUUGUUGUCAGGUAUGUGAACAUGUGAAAUACAACCGAAGACUCUAAAGUGCUCCACUGAUGGUUUGAGACCCUGCCACGCCUCUUCAGGUGUUUUGCUUUUCACAGCAAUGGUUGGACUUCUGUUUAGCACAUGUACUGUCCAAUUUACAGCUUCAGGCCAAAAUGUUUUAGGAAUUUUCUUCUCUAUCAGCAUGCUUCGUACCAUAUUCAUUAUGGUCCGAUUUUUCCUCUCGGCGACACCGUUUUGCUGCGGAGUGUAUGUAGCAGUUAAUUGUUUGUGUAUCCCAUUCUCAUUGCAAUAGUUUGUAAACUUUUGUGAUGUGAAUUCACCCCCUCGAUCUAUUCUCAGACUUCGAAUGAAUGCUCCAGUUUCCUCUCCACCCUAGCUUUAUAGGUUUUGAAGGUAGCAAAGGCUUCUAAUUUCUCUAUCAAAAAAUAAACCCAGGUUUUUCUACUAUAAUCAUCAAUAAAGGUGAUUAAAUACCUUUUGUUGUUGUUCGAGGUUGGGUUGAUCGGACCACAGAUGUCCGCAUACACCAACUGAAGAACUUUGGAAGCCCUCCAUAAGCUUUCUUUUGGGAAUGGAUCUCGAUGCUGUCGUCCUACCAAACAACCUUCACAUACUUGCUGAAUGGCUUUGAACUGGGGUAACCCUUCCACCAUCUUCUUUUGUUGAAGUACUUUGAGUCUAUUCCAACUCAGGUGCCCAUAUCGACGGUGCCAAAGAGUGGCCUGAUCUGUGGUUAGAGAAGAGAAGCACUUUGUCUCACUUGGUGGUAGGCAGUGAGCAACCACGAUAAACAUUCUGUUAGGAGUCAUUUUAGUUUCAAUGAUGAGCCCCCUCUCAGGAUGAAAUAUCUUACAUUUAUCUCGUUGAAUGAGCACAGUGAGCCCAUUCUCUUGUAACUGCCCAAUACUUAACAGAUUGUUCUUUAGUUCAGGUACAAAGAAAACUCCCGUGAUCACAUGAACUAUCCCUUUUACCUCUACUCGAACUGUGCCUUUGCCUUGAACAAUAAGACUCGAGUCAUUUCCCAUCUUUAUUGAUUCCUUGAAACUGCUAUCAAGACCAACAAAAAUGUCUCUCUUGCCGCUCAUAUGGUUGCUACACCCAGAGUCAAGAAACCAGAUAUGUUCAGUUUCACCUUUUUUGAAAUUGACAUGCGCCAUCAACAACAUCUCAUCUUUUGUUUCUGCAUAGUUUGCCUUUGGAUCCCAUGCUUUCUUUGGGCAUUCCAACUGAAAGUGUCCCAACUCAUGACAGUUAUAACAUUCUAGGGUCGAUUUAUCAAACCCAGAUUUGCCCCUUCCUCUUCCCCUUCCACGAUAGUUACUGCGACCUCCACCUCGUCCUCCUUGUUGAGUCCCAGAUGUGACUUGCAGCGCUUGUUCCUCCACUACAACAUGGCGACUAAUCCGUUGUUCAUGCACCAACAAACUGCUUUGAAGCUCAUCGAUGGACAAAGCAUCCAGAUCAUUUGAUUCCUCAAUACAACAUAUUACAUAGUCAUAUUUUAGAACCAUAGACCUUAAGAUCUUCUCUAUGAUCACCACAUCCUCCAUGUGCUCUCCGUGAAUCCUCAUCUUGUUGGCAAUGACGAGAGUUCAUCCAAAAUAGUCAUUGACAGAUUCUCCAGCCUUCAUGUGUAGCACUUCAAACUCCUUUCAAAUAGCCUGCAGUUGAGCACGUUUGACACGUGUUGUUCCUUGAUAUUUCUGCUUCAAGGAAUCCCAUAUGUCAUUCGCAGUGUCCUUCUUCAAUAUGGUCUCUAAGAUCGAACGAUCGAUGGCUUGAAACAAAUAGUUUUUGCACUUCAAGUCUUUCAGCUUCUGAUCAUCAAUCACCUUCUUCUGUGCUUCACUUGAGUCAGCUCCCUCUGCUGCUUCAGUGACUCCCGUUUCCACCAGGUUCCAAUACUCUUUGGAACGUAGAAAGUUUUCCAUUAGCAUACUCCAGUGAUCGUAGUGUCCAUCAAACCGUGGAAUCGCAGGUUGUACAAAGCUGCCUUCGGACGUCAUAUCUUUGUUCCUCCACACUAGUUCCCGUGUAGCAGGUUUUGGUCAGGCCCCGUGGUGGGGCUCUGAUACCAGAUGUUAGAACUCAGAGAGAAUGGCAGAAAGCUUUUGUACGUGUACAGUUUGAUAACACUAGAAACCUAAGAGAAUGUCCUUGUUUAUUGAAUGAAACUUGUGGCUGUUAAAUAGCCUUACAAUGCAAUGAAAUAGGAAAUAACAACCCACGAUUUACAUGGCCUAUGAUCGUGGUGCAUGACUAAGUCAGAAACAGAAAGAUAAGCUUGUCCCUCAAGAAUAGGAGAGAUUAUUUGCACGACUAGAAACUGAACCCUAGAAACAAGGAACCCUAACCCUAAUGGCUAGGAGACUUCAAAUACUUUAACACGCUACCCUCCUCCUUCACAUCAUCAUUUGCCCUAAUUGCAUCUCUCUUUCUUAUUCACUCUUUAACCAUCUCUAUUGCUUCCUCCAAACGCCUCUUCAGCUUACAUUCCCCACACCGAUACAUGUCAUGGGAUUUUCCAACAUAAAUGUACAACCCCGAUACGUCUACAUCCUCCAUCAAAAUCUUAUGCUGCUCAGUUUCGCAACCCUGCUUCAUAAUCAUGUCCAUUAUAUCAUUAUGCAACUCACCAUGCUCACGUGAUCUUUCAAUUCCAAAUGACGAAACCACAUUGGAAAGAAGCUCCUUGUCGGAGCUCUUUAAUUCCGGUUGGUCGAACAUGACUGGUUCCGCCUCUUGUUCAUGAUACUGAUCGAAUAGGAUUCAACGACAGGUUCCAGUAUUGGCAGAGGAAUGAACAUCGAAGUAUGAGUGGAUGACAUGGUAGUCAAACUUCACUACAUAUGUACUGAACCGACGGUGAGGAAGACUCGUAGUCACCUAGGUUGUUGAUAGUUCUUUGGCUUACAUCAACUUGUGUACACUACUCCUAUUAUUUGAAUAUAUAUAUGGUGAACUCUCUGCUUAAUUAAUUGAAGUGUUUAUCGUAUUGUUAAAUUACACUUUGUAUAAGAUAAAUAUUAUGACUGGCAUUAUGAUAGAGGAGAUCAAAUUUAAAGAUAUGCGGUUGAGGAUGUGGGAGCAAAAAUUACACCUUCACUAACAAGCCACAAGCAAUGAAAUAUGAGGAUCAAUCGUACAAAAUCCUCUGCUACAUUCCUGUUAGCUUGCUAAGCAAGCAAUUCCAUUAAUUUUUCAGAAUCUACUCAUGAGGGUGGGCGUGGUUAUACCAUGUUAAAUUUCAGGUAGAUGGGCUAUUGGCCCACUACAACAACAUUGAUACUGUCUCUACUUGGCCACCUGCUCAAUCCUUCAAGUGUGGGGUUUUAAUGCAAAAGGCAUCGGUGUUAGUUAAAGUGGGGUAAUUCUAUUUAAAGGGUUUGUUCUCAAGCCUUCUGGCCGAUGCAGGACAGAAGAAUUCUAACAUAUUGGUGUGGUAGUGUUGGCCUCCAUGGAAUCGCUAAUGGAAAAGAACGUCUCCCGCUAAAAGCAGUAGUCUUUAUAUGGUGCAGUUCAGUUGCAGUGAUGCAAGUUAAUUUUCUUUGAGUUUUAAGUUCUUAUUGAUAUACGGAGAAUGAGGAGUAUUACUUACCCUCAUUAAAUAAUUUAUUUACUUAUCGCAUGGAAGAAAACAAGGUUGCUUGAGAUGCAAGAAAAUAGUUCCCGUCCACUGCCGCAGCUUAAGAACAAAUUAUAAUGUCCAAGCCACCUUCACCAACCAGAAAUACAGGAAGGCACCACCUUAUUAACGCUCCCAGACAACCGCCUCCGUCACCGUUCAAGCAUUCCGCUACUCCGCCUGAGUAAUGCCACAUGGAUUUUUAUAAUUAAGUGGAAGAGAAAUGAAGGUGAUAAACUGAAGGAUAUAAUAGUGUAAUUAUUAAGCUCAAAUGCAACUGUCCCUAGCAGUUUAUGUAGCCUAGUCGAACUAAGCUGCCCAUAUGCACCCGUUGGUCGGAAACUCCUUUAUGUAGCCUAGUCGAACUAAGCUGGCAAGCUGUCGGAUUUACCGUUAGGUCAUACCCUCUUUUAACUCCCUUUGGGCUUUUGGUUUUUUAAUCUUUCACGGGCUUUGACUUUAUUUGAGUCUUUUGUGAUCUCUUUUCUGACCUGCACCAUUUUGUGGGUUGAAAAGAACUCUGUAUUAACAUAAAUAUUUAUGAGUGAUUUUGGUUAAGAAAAAGUUGGCUGAAGUCUUCUUAAUUAAAGCUUUCUUUAUUCUUAAAAGAAAAAAAAAUUAGAAUGAGGCACUAAUGAGGCAAGUGUGGACAUCCACCAUAUUUACAACAAAUGAGGCACUAAUGCAAGUGAGGAUUACUUAUUCGUCCAAAUUAAGAUGUCUCUCCUACUUUAUACGAGACUUGUGACAAUUCACUCUAACACCGGCCGGCGCACUGGUCAUUGUACCAAAUUGAGGGCUAGGGUAAGAAUCCAUUAUCCAAGGUGGAAGACUUUGACGUCAACCUUUUAAAAGUCCGAACAGAAACGUAAUUAAAUGUAUGUCUUCUGCGAAUCCAUUAUCCAAGGUGGAAGACUUUGAUGUUAACCUUUUGAAAAUCCAAACAAAAACAUAAUUGCAUGUAAUUAUUCUGCAAACCCCAGCACAUUAAUAUCAUCUUCAAUGAAGAUGUCAAAUUAAGAUGUUAAAUUUCAUUUUUACAGUUGAUGUGAUAAAAUAACAUCAUGUAAAGUCUAAUAUUCCAACCGAGGUGUCAAAUUAAAAUACGUUUUGGUUUCAUAAAAACAAACGAGUCAUAAUUUAAUAAUAAAAUAAUUAAAGCGAAGAAAAGUAAACAAAUAUGUGGGCCCAACAUUACAAUAAAAUUUGGCGUUGCCUGCAACCAAGUGGAGAAUAUCACUCUAUGUAAAAUUUUCAUUUGAAACAAGAAAAUCACUUUUUUUGUCAAAAUAGUCUACGUUGGAUUUUUUACUUUUCCUUUCAAUAUGCUCUUAGGUCUAUAAAUCUUGCUUCCCGUUUGCAUUAUCAAAAGGGGUGUGAUAUCCACACACACCCCAUUUUACUUUUCACACAUCCUUUUAAUUUUUGACCAUCGGAUCGGAUGAAUUAAAGAAUAUCAACGAACAGAAAUUAACAAGGGGUGUGUGAGAAGUAAUUUGGGGUGUGUGGAUAGCACACCCCUAUCAAAAAACACAACAUGGCAGUGAUAGGAUUUUUCAAAGUUAUUUUUUGGGUUCUUUAGAGAAAGACCCUUGAAACUCCUAUUUUCCAAACAAAAACCCACAUAAUAGUAAAUAUUCAAAUAAAACCCAAAAUUCAAAUAGACUACCAUGUAGACAAAUAUGUAACCAAUUAUUACAACAUAUUUAUAACUUAUGCCACAAACCCCUAAUUAUGUCAAUAAAUAUUAUUAGUCACCCUAAUUAUGAUUAGGAAUUAACCCAUAUGGAAAUUUACCUUUCUUGUAUCAUAAAUAUUAGUAACAUGUAUAUAUAUACACUAAUUUAUCCAUAUUCAUAAACAAUUAUGGGCACAAUUUUCAUAUGAAAAAAGAAAAUCCUUUGUAUAAUCAGUUAUUUUGCAUCAAAUAAUAUUGUUUGAUAAAAAAAAACAAACCAAUUAAUGUUCUUUAUGUUGUAGGUAAAUUAUUUUACAUAGAUUAGACAUUUUUUAUUUGUUAUUAUAUAUGCAUGUUAAAAAUAAUUUAUCUAUAUUUAUAUGUAAAAUGUAAGUAAAUUAAUUUUGAAUCAAAUAGCAUUUAUUUUGUAGGUAAAUUAAAAUAGUAGUUACAUUAUUUUGGUCAAGUUAAACAGUGCCUAAAUUAUUUCGUAAAAACUAAACCAAGACAAAUUAUCACCAUUAAAAUGAAACAAUAGAUACGUUAUUUUUUUAUUUGAUUAAACAAUAGGUAAAUUAUAUUGUAGGUACAUUAUGUUUGUAAAAAAAAAAAAGGAAAAUUGAAAGUAGUAGAUAUUAUUUUUAACCAAAUUUCCUUUAUUUGUAGGUGAAUUAUUUGCAUGCAUUUAUAUAUAUAUAUAUAUAUAUAUAUAUAUUAUAUAAAUUUCUUUUGAAUCAAAUAACAUUUCUUUAAUUUUAUAAGUAAAUUAUUUUGCAUGUAUUAUUACUGGACAAAUUUUAUAGUGCCCUUUCAGAUUUUCAUUUGGGUAAGAAAAUGACAAGAUUAAAUUAAAAUUGUCAAAUUUUAUGCAAAUUUGAAAAACAAUUACAAAAUCUUAAGGAAAGUAUAACAUUAGUGCUUUUUUUUUCCAAGAAGCAUUAACAUACAAUUUGUUAUGAUAUAUCAAUAUGCAAUGAUUUUAAACAUUAAUGCAUUUUUUUUAAUUAAUCCCUCCCUUCAAAUCUGCAUAGAAUUUAAUGUAUACAUUAAAAUUGUAAUUAGGGGUGUUUUAGGCAUCUAAAAAUGCAAAAUGUGUAAAGGCAAAUAGAAUUAAUGAAUUUGCUUAUGUGGAGCCUAGUCAUUGGGUUUUAUUCAGGUAAAAAGAUUAUGUCGGAUUUUAUGUAAAGAAACUUGAGUUUCAGGGGCUAAAGUCAUAUUUUUAGUUAUUUAUUUUUUUGCUACCGGAAGUGAGUGCUUCUUCUGCUACCAGAAGGGAAUGAUAAAGACAUACUCCAUUUAGUUUGUCACAUACUCUUAUUUAAUUAUGUUUGUCAUUUUUGUUUGAUUAAUUCAAUUUAAUGAUAGACCUAAUCCUUUUCCAUUUUUUUUAUUUAUCAAAUUGUAUUUGUCAAAUUGGCAUGUGCAACAUGAAGUUUUUAGUCUAAAAAAAAUAAAAAAAAUGAAGCACCCACAGUGCGCAUUGGAGAUUCUACUAAAUUGAGGUGUAUGGUAAUGAGAAAUUUUCAUUUGUCAUCAAGUUUUAAUUUCAAUGACACAAAACUUUAAUAAAUAAUUGUCACGUGUUAAAAAAUUACAAUAUUUUCAAUGAACAAAUGAAGAAUUUCUUGUAUGGUAGAGAAUAAAUGAAAAGAAUGGAUGGCGCGGCACAAAGCGAUGAAAGGGUUAUCAACAUAAUCCAUUAUAAAACAAAAUCUGGAAUCCAUUAGAAAAUUGAGAGAAAUCCCAAAGGGUUUUGUUUGAUUAAUUCUUGAAUGAUUGCUAUUGGUACGUCCAGAUGACUUAAAUAAAGAUUACAAACAUUUGGAACAACUCAAAUGACUUCUAAUAAUUAAAACAACAUUAGUUAAACAUUAAUCGGAUGACAAACGAAGAGUCCGAUUUUUAUUAUGAAAUUUUAAACGCUGUUUUGGAGGCUGAAAUGACCCUGGAUGGCCAAAAUCUAUCGUACGUCACAGCCGAAGCGAUGUGUUGGGCUCGUGGCGUAGUUUCCUUUCCAAAAAGGUAGCACGAGUCUAAAUCAGAGCUCAUAUGCAAGUUCCCACUACAUCCUUUUAUCUUUCGAAGGUCAAUUUUCUCUUUGAUUUAUUCUGUCAUUUAUUCUACAUCAAUGGAAGAAUUAGGGGUCAACCCUUCGAAAGUCCAACUAGAAACAGAAGCAUAUAAUUAUUGUCCAAACCCCUGCAAGUUAAAGUCUAUAAAUCUUGCUUUCCCUUUGCACUAUCAUUCAUCUCCACGUUGUGGUUCGAAGUUAUUGUUUCUGCUCCCGAAGAUGAAUGGUUCUUCAGCAAAGCUGGUGGCAAUUACAACACUAGUGUUGCUUCUGAUGGGGGAUUUUCAAGCAACUUGUGGACUACUUCCUCAUGGUAUAACUAAUAAUUAUCUUCCUUUUAUGAGAUCUCCAAGCAUUAGCAUUAGCUACUUAAAUCGACUUAGUUUUUACCAAUUUUAUUAUUUGGUAACUAAUUUCUUGCUUCUUGUGAUUUUCUCAUAUAAUUGAACAAGGUUGCUUUGAAUGUCAAAGUGAUAUUUUGAGUACCAAAAUGGUGCCUGUUCGCCGCAGCCUAAGACCAUUCAAUAGGCCGCCACCUACACCUGCUCGCAAUAAACAGCCAUCGCAUAGACAUGUUCCACUACCUCCCCCCCCCACCCCCAAAGAAACUCUAAAUCAGGCUUGACUUCCCACCCCACCCCCCGAGGACCAUCUGGGGCACGCGUCGUUCAUAUUUUCUUGUAUUUUUAUUUGUUUUCUUAAGAGAAGUUAAGUUUAUGUCCUCCAUUCUUUUCUUGUAUUUUUACUUUAUUAUUUCUACUUAUAUUAUGAGCUAAGGUUUAUGUCCCCUUAACUAAGUGUAAUUUCUUUUUUUUUUUUCUGAUUCAAUAAAAUUUCUCUUGUAUCGUUGAGGUUUGCUAAAAAAAAAUGGAACAAACCAAGCAACCAACCAAGAAACUAAACAACAGAAAAUUCAGCCAUAAUAUUCAAGCAAGAUUACCGAUAGAUAUAAUUGAAUUCUAAUAUCAUUCACCAAUGCAAUUGAAUAAAAAAAAUUGAAUUCAAAUAACUUCAAAUUUCAACCAAAGAAAAAAAAGGACACAUCCAAUUUAUUAAGCAAAGAUUUCAAUCGAUAGGUGAUGAGUCGAUAUUAUUCUAUAUUUUUACCCUAAUCUUAGUUAUAAUUUAUUUGUUAUUUUGUAAGAAUUUUGAUACUUUACUUUAUAUUUCAAUUGUAGGACAUGUGAAUCUAUUUUGAGCAAAAAACGAUGAAAUGAAAAUUUUGUGGAGUAGAUUCAUGCGUCUUUCAAGAUGAUUGUGUCGAAAUUUCAUAAUUUAUUUCUCAGCCGUUUGACCGUAGUGAAUAAAAGAAGGCUAAUCGCACAGUGCUGGCAACUUGACGUUUUGUUCUUGUUUGGGCCAUAAGUAAUUCAAGAUGAACUUUUUUUUUAGAAAAGUCCUUUUUAUAAAAUAUAAGGUACAAUUUUAUCUUUCUAACGCCACCUGGCAGGCCUGAUUUUGAGCAGAUUCGAUUAGGGAACAUGUUGAAUACUUGGUUGCCCAGAUUGUCCUAGGAUAGGAUUGUAUUUCCUAGUUUAUUAUUUUAAUUGGGUUUCCAAAUUUGUUGGAAGACCUAAUUUAGAUAAUUUGUGCACACUAUAUAUAUUUAGCCGGGUCUUUUUCUAGGGCCAGAAUGUUUUUAGACUUGGAGAUCUCAGCUUAGGAGCUUUUGACGAUUUGUUACAAGGGUGUUUUCUAUCUUUUCUUCUUAAUAAUAUUUGUACUUUUCAAUUAUAAAUAUGCGUAACUACUUCCUUUUGCUAUGGCGAGUCCACGAGCCUUGGUAUGAAUAUGUAGUUUCUUUUCAAUUUGUUUAUGGCAUAUUGCUUUGAAUUAUUAAUCAUCAUGUUUAAACCAUCUAUGUGUCUUAAUGUUUGAUCACCAUUAGGAUGUUUAGACAAGUAAUUUGAUGCAAUUCUGUUGGAAUGUCAUCUUGAAAUUGAGAAGGGUUUCUUGUGAUUGAUAAUUGUAAUUUCACUUAAGGUGAAUGCCACGUCGUAAGUGUUGCAUGAUUUUCAAAAGAUUUUUCACAAAGUUUAAUGAGUCUUGCAUGCUCAUAUUUGAUAUGAAUAUCACAGACGGAUUGCAUGUUUAAUAUACGUUCAAACUUGAAUGCCAUAAGUAAAAUAUGCAUUAGAAAGACCUAACCUCCAUGGUUUGCAUGUAUCAACUCAUACGUAAUUGAUAGAACUGCAUAUGAUUGAUUUUUUCUUCAAAACUAUUUAAUUUUCUCUUUGCUGCCGAGUUUUUACUAAAACCAAUUUCAAUUCUUUUAUUUUCUGUUUCUUUUAUAUUCUCAAUUUCAAAUCUUAUUCAAAUCUUGUUUUAAAUAGUCAGCUAAGAAUCGGUUUUAUAUACAAUUUAUUCAUAUUAGUUAUGUGAGUUUUAAAUACAAAUGGUUCAUACUACAAUUACUUGUUUUCUUGCAAGUCCAUCACCGUUCAAGCAUUCCGCUAAUCCGCCCGAGUGAUCACAUGGAUUUUUAUAUUAAUCGGAAGAGAAAAUUGCCUACGUAUAUAGUACCUGGAUGAGAACCAUUAGUGUUUCCAUUUGGCUUUGGAGUCUUAAUCUCUACAAAACCACUAAAGCCAAAGUAAAUGAAUGUGAUACGGUCGGUUUUUUUUUUUAUAUCUAGUAGUCAUAUAAGAAAUUUGGUGUAAAAUUAUAAAUGAGGAAUGAAAAGUAGGAAAUGUUGAAUCCAACGAUGUUAAGGGGUUGUU
This 20653-nucleotide long non-coding RNA is filed under the name Malus domestica (apple). Its description in RNAcentral is "long non-coding RNA (MDOM_LNC006298)". The record is from RNAcentral. Lineage: Eukaryota; Viridiplantae; Streptophyta; Magnoliopsida; Rosales; Rosaceae.